This 396-nucleotide unclassified non-coding RNA is filed under the name Hevea brasiliensis (rubber tree). Lineage: Eukaryota; Viridiplantae; Streptophyta; Magnoliopsida; Malpighiales; Euphorbiaceae. The record is from RNAcentral.
AGAAGCUUAUACCUUCUCACCUUAUUUCUAAACGCUUGCUUUGGGGUCCCAAUAUUGUUUGAUAUCUCUUCAGAUUUUGUCCUUCUAAUAAGCUUCUCUUCUAAUUUACCAUUUGAGAUGAGUCUCCUUCGGGUCACUGGUGAUCUCUCUGGUGACCUUUGUUUCUUGAUGGGGCUAUUCAUUUGCAGCUGAAGACUACCUCUUUGGCUCUUUAAUCCUCCUUUGUUCUUGUUCUGGCUGUUCUUGCUGCUGUCAUCCUCGCUGCUGUUUUUGUUUGAUGAUGAUGAAUUCGAAGAAGUCUGUGGUUUUUCUUUGGUUUCAUGGCUUAGACACCAGUUACAGACUUGGUAGGACUCAGCUUUGGGAAAAAGAUUACUACAGUAUCUGUGCUGAGAU